UGACAACCAAAAGGUUGUUUUUGGUAGAUAUUAAAGAUCAUGGGUGGGCGGGGCAAAUGGAGCAGUUUUCUACAGUCGAGUAAAAUUCCAGGAAAGAGCUGGGUGUGGCUUUCCUUUAAAUCACAUGAUCAACAGCUUUAAGAUGGAGGCAACUCGCUCAGUGUUUCCUGUUUCAUUCUUAGACUGUGGCGAUGGUAAGUAGCAGCUUUUCACUUGUUACCUGGCAUCUUUUCAGCCACCAAUGAUAGUCAUUGUAUGUUAUCAACAUUUCACUAACUAUGUUUUCUCUCAUGUUUAAAAUAGGCCGACCAAGAGCAAAAUAGAAGACAACAAUUUCUCAAAGGAGGUUCAAAACUAAUGCCUACAAGAUUACCAAGAGGAGGGUUCGGGGCUCUUACAUGACUCCGGGAAGUCAACACUUGGUGGAUGAGAUCCUUCACAGCAUGUUGUUUCUGGGCAAAAUCAACAACAUCCCCUUUUCUCCAGAAGAAAUCUUCCCUAAUCCUUUUGUGUUGGGUUCUUUAAUGAGAAGAUAUCCCAGGCCUUUAAAGUUGUAUUCGACUCAGCUUCCCAGGCGAAGUCCCUUCUCCUGUGUGCUCGACAUGGUAAGAUAACUCUUCUCACAUUUUCAGUCAAUCUGACAAACUUCCAGUUUUUAGGAAAGUAUAAUGCAAAGUGCUUUUUUACUGAGAAAUCCAAAGAAAAUCCAUACUGUACCUUAUACUUCAACAUAUGCUUCUAGCUAUACUUCUCCACCAAACACAGAGACUGCAGGAGAGCUGGAGACUUGCUUCAGAAUUUGUUAGUUCUAAAUAAUGUCUAACAGACUCAUUAUUGGAGAUGCUUACAGUCUUCAAGGCGUAUAUGAUGCUGUCACUGUGUAGCUGCUGGAUCUGUUAAGCUCAAAGACUCUAAAUUCAGCGUGUUUUGACAGCCCGGCAUAGCAAAAUAGAAAAAAAAAGGUCAAUUAGCAAAUUUAAUUAUAAAUUAGUGAGAACAAAGAUGGAUUUUUGCUUAUUGAUUUAAAAUUAAAUAGAUUUUUGUGACUUGUUUCACCCCCUAUCUUAAAAUGUCUAAAUCAAAAGCAUCCAAUGGUCCUGCAUAGUUAAAUAAGUCAAGCAGCGAAACAAACAUGUUGAUCAACUUUCUAUGAAAAACAACUAUAUAAUCAG
This is a long non-coding RNA of Maylandia zebra (zebra mbuna), 1172 nucleotides long. RefSeq lists it as uncharacterized. Lineage: Eukaryota; Metazoa; Chordata; Actinopteri; Cichliformes; Cichlidae. The record is from RefSeq and is a predicted model, not a curated record.